RNAcentral lists this transfer RNA (71 nucleotides) under Leadbetterella byssophila. RNAcentral describes it as "tRNA-Gln". It matches the Rfam family "tRNA". From Rfam's summary of the family: Transfer RNA (tRNA) molecules are approximately 80 nucleotides in length. Their secondary structure includes four short double-helical elements and three loops (D, anti-codon, and T loops). Lineage: Bacteria; Pseudomonadati; Bacteroidota; Cytophagia; Cytophagales; Leadbetterellaceae. RNAcentral also lists the same sequence under 1 other name. The record is from RNAcentral.
UGGCUGAUGGUGUAAUGGUAACACAGAGGUUUUUGGUGCCUUUAUUCUAGGUUCGAAUCCUAGUCGGCCAA